CAUAGAACCUCCUUGGUCCCUUCUCCAAGGGUGGACCAGGAGGCCCUCACCUGCUCUGCAUCCUGGCAGGGAAAUGUCAUCAGCGGCUGACUCUGCUCUCUGACCCGUGGCCCUGAAUCACCAAAGAAGUGAACACCCCAGGGAGGCUGGUCCCUGCCCACUGGCUGAUCGCUGAGAACAGGUGGGUCCUGAAGGCUGGGCCAGACCUAUUUUUGGGGAGGCGAAGCAAAUCCAAGCCGAGAUGUUGGAGAGAAUUAGAGAAAACACCCCCAUCUCAGCUCCCAUCUGCCAGGCUGGGGCUGGGCACGGCACCACACGAAAGCAGAGCAAGGGGGACUUGACUCAAAGCAAAAUGACCAACCAAGAGGCUGGGAAAAGAGGCGGGUUCAGAUCAGAGCCAGGAGCUCCUGGUGGGGUCAGCAGGGUGUUCAGGAGGCUCGGGCUUCUCUCUGUGAAGGUUUGGGGACCAGAGGGGCCCGGGACAUGGGCAGAGGACAGUGACCUGAGCAGAGUUUGGUGACUUGAGCAGAGGGCAUCUGUUCCUGUCCCUCUCCCGGGGCAGUGAGGCUGGUGCCCCCUGGGCAGCUGAGCUCUGGGCAGGCUCAGGGCCAGUGCGGCCUCUCUGGGCGGGGUUCUCCAGUGCAAGGCAUGUGAGCACAGGCUAGGGGUGGGGCCGUCAAGUUAGGACCAGCAGAUAUGUGUUGCUGCCCCUCCCUGGCCACACCAAGGCUUCGGCACCUUCUUCCCCACCCAUCCAUUCCUCUCCAGCUUCAGUCCUUUACACUGAAGUGGACUUUUAAAAAUAGGUAAAGCACAUGGUACACAGUGGAAAGUUCCCUGUCCUGCCCCGCCCCCCCUUCCCCUCCUCGGGGCAGUAUCUGUGUCCUUACUGGGAUGGUGCAUGGGUAUGCUAGCAUAGAAGUUAAUAUUCUCCCUUUCUGGCUUUUUCUGGUGGCAGAGAUUCCUCUGAGAGUUUGAAAAAACUCACUGAAAUAGGGUAUAUACACACACACACACACAAAUUAGUGUGCAAUUUCAGGGGAUUAUAACACACUCUUGUGGCCCUUUUGAUCCUACUCAGCAAGGAAUUCUGGUUGUGACGUGUCUGGGUCUGAUCCACAUUUUCUCUCCUUAACACUGUUACCCCACAUACACACUUCCCCUGCCUGCCAGGAUUUGACAAGAUUUCAACAAAGGAGAGCUUCUAAGGCCUUGAUGGAGCAGCUUAAGCAAGCAAGCUGUUCAGUGCCUUCUUUCAAAAACUCCGUUAUACUGAGGCCCAAAUAAAAUCUAAACUCUUAGAAUGGCUUGGGAGGCCCUCUACUCGUGGUGUCCCUGAACGUCCCUCCUGGUCCCCUCCAGCCACGAUCACCCUCUGCCCACACAGCUCUGGCCACACCGACCUUUCUGUCACACCCAGGUCUCAGCUCAGGGUCUUUGCUUAAGCUGCUCCCUCUGCUAGGAAAACCAUUUCCCCUGUUGGCUGCAGUGCUGGUUCCUUCUGGUGUCCCUCCCCAGCCACUCUCGUGUGUUCCCCGCUCUCGGCACUCCUUCUCGAGGGCACCAUCCCAUUUCAUUUUCCUCAGUGCGCUUACUCUUCUGAAGCUGUCUGACUUCUGUAGCCAUCUACCGCCCCUGCCACCAGGACACGAGCUCCGGGAAGUCAGAGGCCUUGCGUGUCCCACCUCUAGUGCCCAGAAGGGGGCACUCAGUAAAUGUCUCUGCAUUGACUAAAGAAUCUUGGAGAUCAGAUAUGAAUCGUGACUCAACUCUCCAUCCCAUCAAAGUAGCUCCAGGCCAUCCUUGGCUCCCGCUCUAGGCAAAGUUCCUGCCUCUCCCUCAUUUCUCUAUUCCCAGAUGUCCUACCCUUUUCCCAGAUCUCUGGGGCCCCUCCUUCCCAAUCAGCAUCUAACAAAAACUCUUUUGUGAUUUUAUGCCCGGGGGAUUUAAUCUGAGUCAAUUUGGCAUCUCCAGCCCUGGCUCAGCUGAGUCCAAAGGUCUGAUCAGUGUUUCCAGCGGACCAGCCAGCAACUCUGUCGUCUGAGGGCUCUGAGCUCCACCCCAGUGGGACCAAGGGUACUGAUGAGGCCCGUCCUCGCCUCGCUCCCUGAGCUGCCAUUCCUGGGCCAAUAAACGAAGCCCGAACAAGUGAGAAAAGCAAAGGCUAUUGAUUCAAGAGCUUGCUACAGCAAGGGAAGUCAGUCAGCCAUGGUCACUUGCAUUUUAAAAGAGACUCCAGGGUAGGUGGAGGGGUGGUAAAGCUUUAUUUAUAGCAGAGAAAUGGGAAAGAUUCAGGUACCUGGUGCCUUCUCUGGAGGCUGUUGGCGUGGGGAAGCUGGAAGGCAGGUGACUAGAAGCCAGGCAUCCUGUAUGACUGGUUGGGGGUGCAUAUUUGACUCUCUGGCUGGUCCUAAGUUGCACAGUGGACAAAAGUUAGGGAAGUUGUCAGUUCUGGCCAUUUUGAGCCAACUAUUCUAGAAGUUAGUGGUUAGCUUUCUGAAUUGUUCCUAGACAUAGUCUGACUUGUUACAAACGGGACCUAUGGAUUACCUGGGUGGUUUACUGUAUUUGAGGAGGUGAUUUCCUGGGCGGGUUUCUGCAGGCUGUGGAUGUCCGAGGUCUGUUUUCCCAUAUGGUCUGGCCAUUGUCUGUGUGUUCAGUGCAGAUCAGUGUUUUGGGGACUCCUCCCUCCUUCCCUUGAACAUGGGAACAUCCCGGGCCAGUAGAACCGUCGUCUUUGAUCUCCUCCAUCCUGCAGCUCUCUGGCGAGAGCCUUCGCGGUGCAAAGAAUGGAGAGAGGUGCAGUGAGAGGGGCAAGAAGGCCUGGCGGUGAGGCACACGCACCCACGAGUCGUGUGUUGGGUUCAACGCAGGGAUUCUGAGUUGAGAAGGCUUUAUGAAAGGUGUGGGGUUUCAGGAGUGGGAUUGCUACAGAUGGAAACUGGGGAGAGACAGGGGGGACACUCUUGGAAGGGAAUACGAUGAGGCAGAGGGCAGGUGGAGAGACCUUAGGUUAGUCACUUCCUUUGAGUCUUAAUUCUUCACUGUGUACAGCCUCUGUGAGGCAGACAUGGUGUGCAUGAAGGUGCUGUGAGCUGUGAAGGUUUCAGCAUGAGGGAAGGCUGUGGGAAACACCUGGAAAGGGCCUCUCUUAUCAGAAUAAGGAGGCUGAAUGUACCUAGACAGUGAUAAUAAUAAUGCCAGCAGUGGGGCGCCUGGCUAGCCCAGUCGUAGCACAUGUGACUCUUAAUCUCAGGGUCAUGAGUUCAAGCCCCACGUUGGGCAUGGAGCCUACCUAAAAAAUCAGACAAACAACCAAGCACUUACUGAAUUGGAGUCACUGCUCUAAGCCUGCAGAGAACCCCGGCAACAGUCCCACGAGGCAGUUACUAUUAUUAUCUCCAUAUUACAGGUGAGAUACCUGAGGCACAGAGCAGCUAAGGAGUUUGCCCUGAGUCACACAGUGUCAGAGGGGAGAGAAUGCUUAGAUUGUGUGCUUUGCACAAAUCAGCAGCAGCUGUGUACCCUCAAACGCUGCCUCCUGAUUCAAGGUCUUUGUCCUCGGAUGUGUGUCCCAAUGCAUCAUCAUCAAUCAGCUAUAAUAAAAGUCAGCUUUCACUAAAUACCAGGCAUGGUGCUAAGCAUUUGCAUUUAACUCAUUUAUUUAAAAAAAAUUUAAGUUUUUUUUUUAAUGUUUAUUUAUUUUUUGAGAGAGAGAGACAGAGUGUGAGCAGGGGAGGGCAGAGAGAGAGGGAAACACAGAAUCUGAAUCAGGUUUCAGGCUCUGCACUGUCAGCACAGAGCCUGACAUGGGGCUUGAACUCAUGUACUGUGAGAUCAUGACCUGAGCCAAAGCCAGGCGCUUAACUGACUGAGCCACCGAGGUGCCCCUUUAAAAAAAAUGUUUUAAGUUUAUUUAUUUUGAAAGGGGGGGAGGGACAGAGAAAGAGAGAAUCCCAAGUAGGCUCUGCACCUGCCAGUGCAGAACCCGAUGUGGGGAUCGAACUCAUGAACCAUGGGAUAAUACCCUGAGCUGAAAUCCAGAGUUGGAAGCUUAACUGACUGAGGCACCCAGGUGCCCCUGUACUAACUCAUUUAAUCUUUGUUCCAGGCCUCUGAGGUAAGGAACUGUGAUUAUCGUUUCCACUUUAUGGAGAAGAAAACCAAGGAGUUGCGUGGCAUAGCCCAUGCCUGACUUUGGAGUCUGCACGCCCACCACUGUACCACACGGCCUCUCUUCAAUAAGCAAGGGCUGGGACUACUCACCACUCAAGCCCUGAUCCACACAGUGGUCCGUGCCUAGGAGCCAACUCCACAUCAGUGGUUCUUGCCUUUCUCGAUCACAGACCCCUUUAACACUCGCCCCAGGAAAAUGUGUGCAUGCACACACACUCACACCCCUUAAGAAAUUCACAGAUCCCCCCCCUCCUCAAGCCUUUCCAGGGCAAGUGGGUGAUGGGAAAGACUUCUGGGGUGAGUGUUUCAGCCGGGGGAUAUUCUCCAGUCUGGAACAAAAGAGCAUGGCUUUGAAUUUUAAGAGAUUUACUUUAUUGAGAGAGUGAAAAGUCAGGGGCGCCUGGGUGGCUCAGUCGGUUAAGCACUCUUCGUUUGGGCUCAGGUCACGAUCUCACCUUGGUGAGACUGAGACCGGCAUUGGGAUUGUCUCUUUUUCUCCUUCUUCCUCUGCCCCUCCCCUACUCACACACAUGCGUGCACACACUCUCUCUCCCUCUCAAAAUAAAAUAAACAAACAUAAAAAUUAAAAAAUGAAAUUCCAAGGGCGCCAGUGGGCGCGGAGCCUGCUUGCGAU
Molecule: long non-coding RNA, 4810 nt
Filed under: Lynx pardinus (Iberian lynx)
Lineage: Eukaryota; Metazoa; Chordata; Mammalia; Carnivora; Felidae
Source: RNAcentral